This 253-nucleotide ribosomal RNA is filed under the name uncultured bacterium. RNAcentral describes it as "partial 16S ribosomal RNA". It matches the Rfam family "Bacterial small subunit ribosomal RNA", at positions 524 to 776 of the family's 1533-position model. The record is from RNAcentral.
UACAGAGGUCUCAAGCGUUGUUCGGAUUCAUUGGGCGUAAAGGGUGCGUAGGCGGCGCGGUAAGUCGGGUGUGAAAUCUCGGAGCUUAACUCCGAAACUGCAUUCGAUACUGCCGUGCUUGAGGACUGGAGAGGAGACUGGAAUUUUCGGUGUAGCGGUGAAAUGCGUAGAUAUCGUAAGGAAGACCAGUGGCGAAGGCGGGUCUCUGGACAGUUCCUGACGCUGAGGCACGAAGGUCAGGGGAGCAAACGGG